RNAcentral lists this long non-coding RNA (1272 nucleotides) under Amphibalanus amphitrite. RNAcentral's name for it is "uncharacterized LOC122388282". Lineage: Eukaryota; Metazoa; Arthropoda; Thecostraca; Balanomorpha; Balanidae. The record is from RNAcentral.
CAACUGUCGGCCAAAUGUCACGUGACAUUUGACCUUGACUCGGCACCAAAAUUUGAUGACAAAUACUGCGCGGUUGAUACAUUUGAUGGCGUCAACAAACUGCUUGCUCCAAAUCUUAUACAAUUUUAAGCUUGUAUCAGAUUUUCAAUCUUUUCUCUUGUAUUUUGCUGUGACCUGCCUAGUAUUUUAUUGCAGAUUGCAGAGCUCUUACUCUGAUUCAGUUUUGUGUUGCUGCAAGAUGUAGGUACAUUUAGGAGGUUUCCAAGAGAGGAGAAGAUGAGGGUCGCUUGGGUGAGGGCUGUCAGACGUGCAGAUGCAGUUCCCAGGAGCACUUCCCAGCUCUGUUCCUGUCAUUUUGAGGAGGGCAGCUGCAUCCCAACACUCUUCCAGUACAACGGGACAUCGGGUACCAGAUUGCUCAUUUCCGGUCGCCUGUGCUACACCAAGCUCAGAAAGGGAAAGCGGAUCACACAGCCACCAUCAGCGCGCUAGAACUCCAAGGAGGAUCUGCGAGCGGCGCGCCAGGCGCCGUCGGAGCAGCCCCUGGUAGCGACAGCCGCCGCGCCGUCGGAGCAGUCCCUGGGAGCCACGGCCAGCCGCUGUCGGAGCAGCCUCUGGGAGCCGGCCGGCCGCCGUCGGAGAGGCCUCUGGGAACUUACCUGUAACUGACUGCGGCUGACGUGUGUGUCCGUGUGCGCGCGUGUGUGUGUGCGUUUCCACUGGCAGUGAUAGUGACAGGUGAACGGUGUUCAUGACCGAUGGCCGGCGGUCUUUGUUGUUAUUCUGAUAAUACGUAUGAGACAUUGUUUUAAUAUGUUUUGUUCUGAAACGUUUCCAAAAACUGAAUCACUUCAUUAUCAUUCUACUUAAUUAAAGCAUGUUUACCAGAUAAAAGGAUUUGCAAAUCAAAGGAAGUAAAAUUGUGUGAAAAUUUACUCAGUUGCGCAGCUAGCCAACACACAUUUGCUACUGUCAGGCCGCUAUGGAACAUGUUCAAAGUAGCUCAACGUAUUGAAUGACUCACUGCUCCCCCCCCCCCCCCGCCAACGUUGGCGCGCAUUGGGCGCAGGCACAAGAGUGGUAUCAACGACCGCCGUCUUGAGCUGCACCAGGGUCUGCUGGCUCUUCGUCAUGUAUGGUGCAUUGUUCAGAUAUCCCCGCUGCACGCUGUACGCUGUACGCCACUGUUUCGUUAUAAUAUUUUCUGCUCGAUUUGUUUGAAAUAUGGAAAUAUGUAUAGACACUGGAUGUGCAAAGCGUCCGUGUAGGACA